GGUAGUUCUUAGGUGACACACCCUGGAAUCAGGCUCCCACCUCUCUUGUUCUGGGUGCAUCACCCAAGAACCACA
This is a non-coding RNA of Myotis davidii, 75 nucleotides long. Lineage: Eukaryota; Metazoa; Chordata; Mammalia; Chiroptera; Vespertilionidae. The record is from Rfam.